This 177-nucleotide ribosomal RNA is filed under the name uncultured Methyloversatilis sp. RNAcentral describes it as "partial 16S ribosomal RNA". It matches the Rfam family "Bacterial small subunit ribosomal RNA", at positions 355 to 524 of the family's 1533-position model. Lineage: Bacteria; Pseudomonadati; Pseudomonadota; Betaproteobacteria; Nitrosomonadales; Sterolibacteriaceae. The record is from RNAcentral.
CGGGGAAUUUUGGACAAUGGGGGCAACCCUGAUCCAGCCAUUCCGCGUGAGUGAAGAAGGCCUUCGGGUUGUAAAGCUCUUUCGGCAGGAACGAAACGGCGAGCUCUAACAUAGCUCGCUAAUGACGGUACCUGAAGAAGAAGCACCGGCUAACUACGUGCCAGCAGCCGCGGUAAU